GCUUUAAUAAUUUAUAUUAAAAUAUUGGUCUUGUAAAUCAAAAAAAAGAAAAUAUCUUUUAAAGCU
Molecule: transfer RNA, 66 nt
Filed under: Onthophagus baolocensis
Lineage: Eukaryota; Metazoa; Arthropoda; Insecta; Coleoptera; Scarabaeidae
Description: tRNA-Thr
Source: RNAcentral